RNAcentral lists this ribosomal RNA (429 nucleotides) under uncultured Herbaspirillum sp. Its description in RNAcentral is "bacterial SSU rRNA". It matches the Rfam family "Bacterial small subunit ribosomal RNA", at positions 355 to 774 of the family's 1533-position model. The record is from RNAcentral. Lineage: Bacteria; Pseudomonadati; Pseudomonadota; Betaproteobacteria; Burkholderiales; Oxalobacteraceae.
UGGGGAAUUUUGGACAAUGGGGGCAACCCUGAUCCAGCAAUGCCGCGUGAGUGAAGAAGGCCUUCGGGUUGUAAAGCUCUUUUGUCAGGGAAGAAACGGUAGUAGCGAAUAACUAUUACUAAUGACGGUACCUGAAGAAUAAGCACCGGCUAACUACGUGCCAGCAGCCGCGGUAAUACGUAGGGUGCAAGCGUUAAUCGGAAUUACUGGGCGUAAAGCGUGCGCAGGCGGUUGUGUAAGUCAGAUGUGAAAUCCCCGGGCUCAACCUGGGAAUUGCAUUUGAGACUGCACGGCUAGAGUGUGUCAGAGGGGGGUAGAAUUCCACGCGUAGCAGUGAAAUGCGUUAGAUAUGUGGAGGAAUACCGAUGGCGAAGGCAGCCCCCUGGGAUAACACUGACGCUCAUGCACGAAAAGCGUGGGGAGCAAAAC